RNAcentral lists this long non-coding RNA (1652 nucleotides) under Homo sapiens (human). Its description in RNAcentral is "non-protein coding LINC01558:4". The record is from RNAcentral. Lineage: Eukaryota; Metazoa; Chordata; Mammalia; Primates; Hominidae.
GCGGGCAGCAGGCAGGACACGUGGAAACGCAACCGCCAGGAGGAAAGGCGGGACACAGCGGGAAGGGAGGUUUGCCUCCCCUCUCUUCCUGUGGUGACCCCCACCUCACUUACAAAAAUCACCACCGACGUUUGGGAACCGUGCACGCCGACUGAAAGCAAAGCUCAGCUGACCUGCGAGGAGUCCCCGGGGAGCUGCCGCGGUGGUCGCCGUUGAGUCCGUCCGUGCCGCUGGGGCCGAGGCAGCUGGAGAUGUGGUCAACGGGCUGAUGGGCACGGCUGUGGGACCCCAUCAUUCCCCUGCCCCGCAUGACUCUGCUCUCCCAGCUCGACUGCUCACUUCAGACUUCCCUUAUGGAAGGAGUUGCCAGAUAGAGCAAGUAAAAUACAGUGUGCCAGACACAGGUUUAUUUCAACACUGGGAAGGCUCCAUUCCUACUUAAACCCAGCAGGGAACAGGGAGCGGUGUGCAGAGGAGGUGGCCUGCCCGGGAAGCCGGCCUUGGUGCUGGGACUGCAGGGAGAGGGCUGUGAGGAAGAGCACAGGCUUCAUGCACAUUGCACAGAGGAGGAGAUUCAUGGGGACAGCAGGCACUGGUUAGGCACAGCGGGAAGGUUAUCGAAGACAAAACACAUUUCUACCCAAGUUUAAAUGACCUGCUAUGCCCACAGAGCUUGAUCCAGAAGUGCACAGUAGAGACGGGGUUUCACCAUGUUAGCCAGGAUGGUCUCGAUCUCCUGACCUCGUGAUCUGCCCGCCUCAGCCUCCCAAAGUGCUGGGAUUACAGGAGUGAGCCACCGCUCCCGGCCCAGAACUUUUAAUAAAUAUAAAUACACAGGUAAUUUUAACACAUAUUCCUGAUGAAAUCAUUAUUAUCUGCAAUGCUUUCAUUCUGCUUUUUCUCUUAACAAUGGCAUAAACAUUUUUCAAGGUCAAUAAAUGUUUUUCAAAAUCGCAUUUGUAUUAGUGGCUGUAUAGUUUUCUAUCAAAUGUGGAAUAAACUCAAUUUAUUUCUCCCUUUUGUUCUUGAACAUUUAAGAUCAUUGGUUCAUAGUUACUAAUCAUGUUACAACAAAUAUUCAUGUAUUCCAAAUUUUGCUCAUUCCUGAUUAUUUCCUUAGAUUUCCAGGUAUGGAAUAAUUAGGUUGAAGUGUUUGAAAUCUUUUUUUGUUGGUUUGUUUGUUUUUGAGAUGUAGCUUCCCUCUGUUGCCCCGGCUGGAGUGCACUGGCAUGAUCUCAGCUCACUCACUGCAACCUCUGCUGCCUGGUUCAAGCGAUUCUCCUGCCUCAGCCUCCUGAAUAGCUGGGGUUACAGGUGCGCACCACCACGCCCGGCUAAUUUUUGUAUUUUUAGUAGAGACAGGGUUUCAUCAUGUUGGCCAGGUGGGUCUCAAACUCCUGACCUCAGGUGGUCCUUCUGCCUUGGCCUCCCAAAGUGCUGGGAUUACAGGCGUGAGCCACUGCGCCCGGCCGAAGUGUUUGAAAUCUUUAAGCAUCCUGGUAAAUAUUGAGUUUUGUCAAUAUUUAGAAAAGUUGCAUGAUUGACAUCGCUUCCACCCAUGUUUCAGAGCAUCUGAUUUGUCAGACCCUCACCAAAAAUGGGCUUUUAUCAAAAUGUAAUAAAAAAUAAAUACAACUUUUCCAAUGACAAAA